Molecule: long non-coding RNA, 1952 nt
Filed under: Sus scrofa (pig)
Lineage: Eukaryota; Metazoa; Chordata; Mammalia; Artiodactyla; Suidae
Description: lncRNA (ENSSSCG00025028550.1)
Source: RNAcentral
UUUUUUUUUUUUUUUGGUCUUUUUGCCAUUUCUUUGGGCCACUCCCACGGCAUAUGGAGGUUCCAAGACCAGGGGUCUAAUCGGAGCUGCAGCCACCGGCCUAUGCCAGGGCCACAGCAACGCGGGAUCCGAGCCGCAUCUGCAACCUACACCACAGCUCACGGCAACGCCGGAUCGUUAACCCACUGAGCAAGGGCAGGGACCGAACCCGCAACCUCAUGGUUCCUAGUCGGAUCUGUUAACCACUGAGCCACGACGGGAACUCCUCCACUAAACUUUUAUGGUGAAAUUUAACCUACUAUAAAAAUCAUACUCAUUGAGGAAAUGUUGGAAAAGACAGAAAAGUAUAAAAUUUUGGUAAAACUUUUUUCAACCAAAUUCUCAAAUCUCAUAAACAACCAAUGACAAUUAUUUAUACAUAUUUCAUACCCACCUAAGUCCAACAAAACAGAUAGAUAAACAGACAGACAGACAGAUAUAACUGUGAUAGGCACCCUUUUGACACAGGGAGUUCAGCAGUGAAUGCGACAUACAAGACCCUUGCCUUCAGUGUCUUUCUUGUAUAUGAGCUAUUAAGUAAUUUAAGGUUCCUCUUUCCAAUUCACUUUUCACCUGCUAGUACAAUCUAUUAGCUGAAAUUAAAUAAAUAGAUCAAGAGGCAAGAAUAAAAGCAACAAAAAUUCUAAUAGCACUAGAAAGUUCCCAUAAAAUACUUACACAGUAUUGUGACCCUUUCCUCACUUAUCACAUAAGGACUUUUCCAAGUCAUUUUCUUUGAGAACAUGAUAUUAAAUGUUUGUGUGGGAGUUCCCAUGGUGGCGCAUGGUUAACGAAUCCAACUAGGAACCAUGAGGUUGCGGGUUCAAUGUGGGUUAAGGAUCCAGCGUUGCCGUGAGCUGUGGUGUAGGUUGCAGACAUGGCUCGGAUCCCGCGUUGCUGAGGCUCUGGCAUGGGCAGGUGGCUACAGCUACGAUUCGACCCCUAACCUGGGAACCUCUAUAUGCCGCGGGAGUGGCCCUAGAAAAGGCAAAAAGACACCCCCCCCAAAAAAAAAGAUGGUGGAGGAGUAAGACAUGGCACUGACCUUCUUCCACAAACAUAUUAAAAGAAAAAAAACCCCAUUACAUGUAAACGAUUCGUACACAACCCAUACUGAAUGCUGGCAGAAGACCGUAAACCUCCAAAAAGAGCUAGAAUAUAUUCGUCAUAGAAAUACCAUACCCAUUAGCAAUAACUCCCCAUUUCCCUCCAACCUUCCCCCAAGCCUAGGCAACCACCAACCUACUUUCUGUCUCUAUAGAUUGGCCUCUUCUGGACAUUCUCCAGAAAUGGACUCAUAUACUAUGCAGCCUUUUCAUUUACUUAGCUGAUGUUUCUAAGAUUCGCUCAUGUUGGAACAUGUAUUAGUACUUCAUUCCAUUAUACAGAUACACCACAUGUUGUUUUACUGCUGAUCAAGUGAUAGACCUUUGGGCUGUUUCUUCUUUUCGGCAAGUGUAAAUAUUGUUACUACGAUCAUUCAUGUACAAGUAUUUUGUGGACCUAUGUUUUCCAUUUUCCUGUUUAUUUAUCUAGGACUGGCAUUUCUGGGUUAUAAGGCUGUUUUCCAAGUGGCUACAUCAUUAUACAUUCUUGCCAGCAAUGUAUGAGGGUUCAUAUUUCUCUGUGUCCUCCCAAUGCUGUUUUAUUAUCUGUGUUAUUGAUUACAGCCAUCCUGGUACAUGUGAAGUGGUAUCUCACUGUGGUUUUAUGUCUAUAAAUAUUUUGUAAAUGGUCCAUCAAUAAGUUCUUACCUCUCUAUUUCCACCCACAUCUCAGUCCACAAGUGAAAAUAACUAAAUUUUUCGUCCUGCCAUUAUUUAAGCUUUCAUUGUGUCUUACCAGAGCCACUGAUAAAAUCCUCUAUCUCCUGGCUAUUUAGUCUGUCUUCCCCUCCCAAUCCUUCCCCCACA